GGUUAAGCGACUAAGCGUACACGGUGGAUGCCCUGGCAGUCAGAGGCGAUGAAGGGCGUGCUAAUCUGCGAUAAGCGCCGGUAAGGUGAUAUGAACCGUUAUAACCGGCGAUACCCGAAUGGGGAAACCCAGUGUGACUCGUCACACUAUCAUUAACUGAAUCCAUAGGUUAAUGAGGCGAACCGGGGGAACUGAAACAUCUAAGUACCCCGAGGAAAAGAAAUCAACCGAGAUUCCCCCAGUAGCGGCGAGCGAACGGGGAGGAGCCCAGAGCCUGAAUCAGCAUGUGUGUUAGUGGAAGCGUCUGGAAAGACGCGCGAUACAGGGUGACAGCCCCGUACACAAAAGCGUAUGUGCUGUGAGCUCGAUGAGUAGGGCGGGACACGUGGUAUCCUGUCUGAAUAUGGGGGGACCAUCCUCCAAGGCUAAAUACUCCUGACUGACCGAUAGUGAACCAGUACCGUGAGGGAAAGGCGAAAAGAACCCCGGCGAGGGGAGUGAAAAAGAACCUGAAACCGUGUACGUACAAGCAGUGGGAGCACAGGUUUACCUGUGUGACUGCGUACCUUUUGUAUAAUGGGUCAGCGACUUAUAUUCUGUAGCAAGGUUAACCGAAUAGGGGAGCCGGAGGGAAACCGAGUCUUAAUUGGGCGUUAAGUUGCAGGGUAUAGACCCGAAACCCGGUGAUCUAGCCAUGGGCAGGUUGAAGGUUGGGUAACACUAACUGGAGGACCGAACCGACUAAUGUUGAAAAAUUAGCGGAUGACCUGUGGCUGGGGGUGAAAGGCCAAUCAAA
Molecule: ribosomal RNA, 796 nt
Filed under: Salmonella enterica
Lineage: Bacteria; Pseudomonadati; Pseudomonadota; Gammaproteobacteria; Enterobacterales; Enterobacteriaceae
Description: partial 23S ribosomal RNA
Rfam family: Bacterial large subunit ribosomal RNA
Source: RNAcentral